RNAcentral lists this ribosomal RNA (407 nucleotides) under uncultured Glomus. RNAcentral's name for it is "SSU rRNA". It matches the Rfam family "Eukaryotic small subunit ribosomal RNA", at positions 569 to 978 of the family's 1831-position model. The record is from RNAcentral. Lineage: Eukaryota; Fungi; Glomeromycota; Glomeromycetes; Glomerales; Glomeraceae.
AGCAGCCGCGGUAAUUCCAGCUCCAAUAGCGUAUAUUAAAGUUGUUGCAGUUAAAAAGCUCGUAGUUGAAUUUCGGGAUCAAUUCGUCGGUCGUGCUUUCGGGUACGUACUGGUGUUUAUUGGUUUCUCCCUUCUGACGAACCAUGAUGUCAUUAAUUUGGUGUUAUGGGGAGUUAGGACUGUUACUUUGAAAAAAUUGAGUGUUUAAAGCAGGCAUUAGCUUGAAUACAUUAGCAUGGAAUAAUGAAAUAGGACGUUCGAUCCUAUUUUGUUGGCUUNUAGGAUCAACGUAAUGAUUAAUAGGGAUAGUUGGGGGCAUUAGUAUUCAAUUGUCAGAGGUNAAAUUCUUGGAUUUAUUGAAGACCUAACUACUGCGAAAGCAUUUGCCAAGGAUGUUUUCAUUAAUC